RNAcentral lists this ribosomal RNA (497 nucleotides) under uncultured bacterium. RNAcentral's name for it is "partial 16S ribosomal RNA". It matches the Rfam family "Bacterial small subunit ribosomal RNA", at positions 28 to 507 of the family's 1533-position model. The record is from RNAcentral.
GAUGAACGCUGGCGGCGUGCCUAAUAUAUGCAAGUCGAGCGAACAGACGAGGAGCUUGCUCCUCUGACGUUAGCGGCGGACGGGUGAGUAACACGUGGAUAACCUACCUAUAAGACUGGGAUAACUUCGGGAAACCGGCGCUAAUACCGGAUAAUAUAUUGAACCGCAUGGUUCAAUAGUGAAAGACGGUUUUGCUGUCACUUAUAGAUGGAUCCGCGCCACAUUAGCUAGUUGGUAAGGUAACGGGUUACCAAGGCAACGAUGCGUAGCCGACCUGUGAGGGUGAUAGGCCACCUGGGAGCGGAGACACGGACCAGACUCCUGAGGGAGGCAGCAGUAGGGAAUCUGACGCAGUGGGCGAAAGCUUGACGGAGCAACGCCGCGUGAGUGAUGAAGGUCUUCGGAUCGUAAUACUCUGUUAUUAGGGAAGAACAAAUGUGUAAGUAACUAUGCACGUCUUGACGGUACCUGAUCAGAAAGCCACGGCUAACUACGUG